UACCUUGCGCAGUGAUUAUAUAGUAACCAAGGAAGGUCUCCUGUGGUGCGAUUAUUGUUAGUUGAAAACUAUUACCAAAAGCCAAGAUUAUUUGUGCAUUAAGAAAAGGUUUUCUUCAUGUGUUUUUUGGCCAAAG
This 136-nucleotide small nuclear RNA is filed under the name Rhodnius prolixus. Its description in RNAcentral is "U4 spliceosomal RNA". The stretch from base 1 to 112 matches the Rfam family "U4 spliceosomal RNA". Rfam says of the family: U4 small nuclear RNA (U4 snRNA) is a component of the major U2-dependent spliceosome. Lineage: Eukaryota; Metazoa; Arthropoda; Insecta; Hemiptera; Reduviidae. The record is from Rfam by way of RNAcentral.